Molecule: ribosomal RNA, 165 nt
Filed under: uncultured bacterium
Lineage: Bacteria
Description: partial 16S rRNA
Rfam family: Bacterial small subunit ribosomal RNA
Source: RNAcentral
UAGGGAAUCUUCGGCAAUGGGGGCAACCCUGACCGAGCAACGCCGCGUGAGUGAAGAAGAUUUUCGGAUCGUAAAGCUCUGUUGUAAGAGAAGAACGUGUGUGAGAGUGGAAAGUUCACACAGUGACGGUAACUUACCAGAAAGGGACGGCUAACUGCGUGCCAG